This 203-nucleotide long non-coding RNA is filed under the name Capsella rubella. Its description in RNAcentral is "long non-coding RNA (CRUB_LNC000185)". Lineage: Eukaryota; Viridiplantae; Streptophyta; Magnoliopsida; Brassicales; Brassicaceae. The record is from RNAcentral.
UAGGGUGUGGGGUUUUCCUUCUAAAAAAAGUUCCCGUACACAAAAUUUCCUUUCAAAAUUUUUCGACAAAAAGUUUCUCGCCAAAAGUUUUUGACAAAAAUUUCCCGCCAAAAUAUUUUCCGCCAAAAAAAUUUCAACAAAAGUUUUCCCGCCAAAUUGUUUUUGACAGAAAUAAUACAAGAAAUUUUGACACAAAAAUUGAC